RNAcentral lists this ribosomal RNA (370 nucleotides) under uncultured organism. Its description in RNAcentral is "bacterial SSU rRNA". It matches the Rfam family "Bacterial small subunit ribosomal RNA", at positions 526 to 896 of the family's 1533-position model. The record is from RNAcentral.
CGAACUGUGCGAACGUUAUUCGGAAUCACUGGGCUUAAAGGGUGCGUAGGCGGUUUUCUAAGUCACGUGUGAAAUCUUCCGGCUCAACCGGAAAACUGCGCGUGAUACUGGAAGACUUGAGUGAGGUAGGGGUGUGUGGAACUUCCGGUGGAGCGGUGAAAUGUGUAGAGAUCGGAAGGAACGCCAGCAGCGAAAGCGGCACACUGGGCCUUAUCUGACGCUGAGGCACGAAAGCUAGGGGAGUGAACGGGAUUAGAUACCCCGGUAAUCCUAGCCGUAAACACUGAACACUGGAGGACGGGGGCUUUGGCCUUCGUUCUCGUAGCGAAAGCGUUAAGUGUUCCGCCUGGGAGGUAUGGUCGCAAGGCUG